UGGGCAUUAUUACCGGCUGUUUGCAGGAAAGGAAACUGAGGAUCAGACAGGUCAAACAAUUUGCCCAAGGUCACCAGCUGGCCAAGGGGGAAACCAACUUUUCAUACGGAGGUCUCCAGUUUCCAAGUCACAAGCUCUUGCCACCACCUCGGAACACCCACGUGUCAAGUUGUCUCAACUUACCAUAAAUUUUUAAGGCAACCUCAACUUCUCACUGUCUCACGGCAGGUACCUGAUAAAUCAUUCUAUAUCGUCUGCGGAACGGGGAGGAUUUAUUGGCUCGUGCCAGGCCCAGGAAAUGCCAUCUUUGAAAGCCGAGCGGCGGAUUCGUCCAGAAGUGGAGAAGGUCUGGCCGCCGCACUUGGCCUGCAUCCCGUGAGCUGUGCGCCCCCUCUGCGGCCGCAGUCCCGACGGCGCUAGGCCCUCGGGGUCGCCAGCCGCGUCCGCCCCAGCCCGGGUCGGAACGCACGCCCACGCCCCACCGCCGCCGCCGCCGCCGCGUCCCGGCCGCCAGUCCCGACCGAGCCCCACCCCGCCUGGCUUGUCCCUCCCGCUCCCGGGGCCGGCCCCGCCAGGUGAGCGCUACCGGGCGCCCCCUCCCCGCCCCGACGUGGCUCCGGGACCCCGCGGCCGCCGAGUUCGCCAGCC
This is a non-coding RNA of Manis javanica (Malayan pangolin), 648 nucleotides long. The record is from RefSeq and is a predicted model, not a curated record. NCBI's taxonomy places the organism in Eukaryota, Metazoa, Chordata, Mammalia, Pholidota, Manidae.